Molecule: non-coding RNA, 3595 nt
Organism: Oncorhynchus mykiss (rainbow trout)
Lineage: Eukaryota; Metazoa; Chordata; Actinopteri; Salmoniformes; Salmonidae
Source: RefSeq, a predicted model, not a curated record
ACGUGGUAGGCAAUUAUAGAAUUUUGAGUUUUAAGUCUUUAUGUUAAGAACUGACUUAUUUACGGAGUGUUUAGUGAGUGUGUGUGUUAUUUCAGAAAAUCACAGAAAUCUCGUAGAACUCCGAAGCACACAUUAAAAAGAUUUGUAUGAACACGCUGCAACUGGAUCUGUAACUGUUUAAAAAAAAUUGAGUUUGGUGACAAACCACACAAAUUACUCGCCAGACAACUUCGAAAAAAUGUGAGUGACAGAAUGAUUCACAAAGUUAAAUCUGCAUCUGGGGAAUUACUCUCUUCCCCCAAAGACAUCAAUGACAGAUUCCGGCAGUUUUAUGAGACUCUAUAUACAUCUAAAGCGGAUCCUAUAACCCCUUAAUUAUGCAAACAUUUUUGGAGGACUGUAAUCUUCCUGCCCUUGAACCAGGAAGAUUAUAACUUCCUGAAUAAGGAAAUAUCUCUUGAUGAAAUUCAAGAAACAAUUAAAUCUCUAAAGAGUGGCACCCCGGGCCCAGAUGGAUACCCUGGUGAAUUCUAUAAAACAUUCAGCAACAUGCUCUCUCCCUACCUGCACAAAAUGUUUGUUCAGGCCAAUGAGGAUGGAGCUCUCCCUUCAUUACAGUUAUACAUAAGAAGGGUAAGGAUCCAGAAGAGGUAGGGUCAUACAGACCAAUAUCUCUCCUUAAUACAGACCAAAAGAUUUUAGCAGGCUUAGCACUUUAAUUGGCAAAUUGGUCCAUUCGGAUCAGACCGGCUUUAUCCCUAACAGAAACGCAUUCUUCAAUCUCAAUAUUAUGUAUUCUCAGAUGUUACCCAACGUGGACCUUGCCGUCAUAUCUCUUGACGCCGAAAAGGCCUUUGACCAAGUUCCUACAGAAAUGUAAUAUUGGAGAUGAGUUCAUAAAUUGGAUCCAGCUUUUAUAUAGGAACCCCUGUGCCAGAAUACUCACUAACCAAUCAUUGUCGCCCCGAUUUAACCUUAACGGGGGGACAAGGCAGGGUUGUGCGCUGUCGCCUAUGCUCUUCGCCCUAAUUAUCGAACCGCUCGCUCAGACGAUUAGAUCUCAUGCAGCAAUCCACAGCUAUAAUACUAAAGAUACUCUAAAUAAGAUUUCCCUAUACGCAGAUGACAUCCUCCUCUUGAUGUGAUCAAUUUGUUUGGUACCUUCUCGGGAUACAGAAUAAAUUGGAACAAGAGUGAAUUAAUGCCCAUACGGUCGCAAAACACCUCCUGGCUAGAACCUCUCCCAUUUAAGUUAUCUUCAGAAAAAUUGACCUACCUAGGAAUUGUAGUUACCAAUCAAUACACCUUACUAUUUAAAGAGAAUUUCCCCCCUCUGAUACAAAAACUCAAAGCAAACAUACUUUUACAUAAACAUAUUUUGGAGAACUCUCCCAAUUUCUCUACUCGGAAGAAUUAAUGCCAUUAAAAUGGUCUUCUUCCCACAACUUCUCUACCUAUAUCAGAACAUCCCAGUAUUCAUACCUAAAUCCUUUCAUAAACAACUGGACUCAAUUAUCAAUCCUUUCAUCUGGGAUUAUAAAACACACAGGAUAGGUAAAAAACACCUCUGUAAAUCCAAGAUGGAAGGAGGAUUGUCUCUCCCAAAUUGUAUAUUUUAUUGGGCCGCUAACCUGGGCUGCUAACCUCCGCGUUGUUACGUUUCUGCUGGAUGACGCACUUCCGGCAUCCAGCUGGCUUACUAUGGAGCGUGAGGAGUGUCACCCCUUCUCUAUUGGUGCUGUGAUUUUGUCGCCUGUCAAUCUGGAGAUGUCACUUUAUUGUAACAAUCCUAUUAUACAUAGCACAGUCCGAAUAUGGAAGCAAAUUAAAGUCCACUUUGAGCUUAGACCAAUGUCAUUCAUGCUCCCUGUCGCCAGGAAUCCCUCCUUUGCCCCUUCUAACCUUGAUAACACCUUUGAGCGAUGGGGGGAGCUGGGGAUAAGUACCAUAGGGGAUUUAUACAUAGAAGGGACCUUUGCUUCCUUUGAGUUGCUGAGGGAAACACAAUUUUUUCAGAUACCUACAAAUUAGAGACUACGUUAGAAAACACCUCCCAACAUUUGGGAAUGCUAAACCUUCCAUGUUUGACAGAUGCAUAAAAAUAUGCCCCACCUCAGAUAAACUGAUAUUGAUAUAUGAUGCUUUUCAAUCUGUUAGCACACCUUCUACAGAUGCCAUCAAGGCAAAAUGGGAGGAAGAACUAGGGACUGACAUUUCUGUGGCAGACUGGGAAGAGAGCUUGGAGUAUAUCCACACAUGCUCCAUUAAUUCCAGACAUCGUCUCAUACAAUUCAAGGUCAUUACCUGGACCAGAAGAGGCUAAAACAGGGCCUGUACCGCCACCCAUGGGAUGACAUCUCCUAUGUGCUUCCUGAACACAUGUCAAUGUAACUGAUGACAGCGAGUCGGCACCUCUGGAUGUCAACACUCGGAUAUGACGGGAAGCAUUUUCACCUUAUCACUUCAACAACCUCUGCCUUUGGGCAGGGUAAAUCCAGAGGUGGGGGGGAUAUGGGGGAAGAGGGGAGCGUUAGUUUUAUUAGGUCACUAAAGAAAAAGGGAAUAAUUUACGUUAUUUAAGUUAUGAGUUCAAUCGUUAACAAAAAAAAGGAGCCGAACCAAUGCAAGCUGCAGCUGUGGUCACACUAGGUGACUGGGAAAACUAGGUCACCGGUUCACAAAUGGGAUAGUGGCUUUUGACCAUGCCACCUGGUUGUUUGGUCCAUCGCCUACUCGCUUAUAUUUUAUUUUCAUAUCUCUUACUAAACUCUCAAACGAUUAACAGUUGGUUGAGCUGUAUAAUAUAGGGCUAGCCCUGCUUUAGGCCUCUAGGGUGUGUGCUGUUGAAAGUUAGCAUGCUUUCUGGGUGACUUGGUAAUGCACAUAACAUGAACACCGGCUUGCCUAUGGAGAAGUAGUCUUGGUCGGUAAACCUGCAUCCCUCAAUGGAGUGUAAGCCUUGAACGAUCCACCGUCAUGUACAUUACAAAACCAAAGUAUUGUGUGAGGUUUUAUUUACACAUUUAAUCUAGUUUCCGACCUUAAUCCCCUUCCAAAGUUGUGUAGCCUAUUAUGGUGUGUACUCUGUGGCUGUUCAAGAUAAGGGGGCACGGUUUAACUAGCUGAAUGUUAGUGUUGAUUUGCCACUGCCUUUUUUUUUUUUUUUAGGAUCCCAAUUAUCUGUUGCAAAAGCAACAGCUACUCUUCCUGAUGUCCUUUCUCAUCCCCUCUGUCAUUGGACGAAACGAUCAUGUUAACUUUAUUUUCAUCCAUUUAGAUUUCAAGAAAUUACAAAUGUGUUAUUUUAAAAUGUUUCAAAAUAAAGGAAAAGGCAAUAAACAGUCCUACUUUUGAAGGGGUUAAUUGCUUUAAAAUGUGAGUCUUAAAUGCAUCUUUUGCGAGGGACCAUGAAGGCAGUGUAUUUUAUCUGGGAAAAUAGUGUCUGAUUUGCACGUUAUGUCUAGAUUAUUGCUACCAGUAGCCAUUUUUCUUUGUCCUCAAUGUUCUGUGACAGGCAUGUUUGUACUUCGUUUUAUUUAAAUGUGAAUUAAAAAUGCUUCUUAGUUUAUUAAAACCAAGCAUGUCUAACUUUUCA